Molecule: ribosomal RNA, 253 nt
Filed under: uncultured bacterium
Lineage: Bacteria
Description: partial 16S ribosomal RNA
Rfam family: Bacterial small subunit ribosomal RNA
Source: RNAcentral
UACGGAGGGAGCUAGCGUCGUUCGGAAAUACUGGGCGUAAAGCGCACGUAGGCGGCGCAGCAAGUCAGGGGUGAAAUCCCGGGGCUCAACCCCGGAACUGCCCUUGAAACUGCAGUGCUAGAAUCUUGGAGAGGCGAGUGGAAUUCCGAGUGUAGAGGUGAAAUUCGUAGAUAUUGGGAAGAACACCGGUGGCGAAGGCGGCCAUCUGGACCGCAACUGACGCUGAGACGCGAAAGCGUGGGGAGCAAACAGG